RNAcentral lists this unclassified non-coding RNA (253 nucleotides) under uncultured Hydrogenedentota bacterium. Its description in RNAcentral is "uncultured Hydrogenedentes bacterium contains 16S-23S intergenic spacer region". It matches the Rfam family "Bacterial small subunit ribosomal RNA", at positions 524 to 776 of the family's 1533-position model. The record is from RNAcentral. Lineage: Bacteria; Pseudomonadati; Candidatus Hydrogenedentota.
UACGGAGGCUCCUAGCGUUGUUCGGAAUUACUGGGCGUAAAGGGAGCGCAGGCGGACCGGUCAGUCUGGAGUGGAAUCCCGGGGCUCAACCUCGGAAGGCCUUCGGAUACUGCCGGUCUUGAGUUCGUGAGAGGAAAGCGGAAUUCAGGGUGUAGCGGUGAAAUGCUUAGAUAUCCUGAGGAACACCAAUGGCGAAAGCAGCUUUCUGGCGCGAAACUGACGCUGAGGCUCGAAAGCGUGGGUAGCGAACGGG